RNAcentral lists this ribosomal RNA (512 nucleotides) under uncultured bacterium. RNAcentral's name for it is "bacterial SSU rRNA". It matches the Rfam family "Bacterial small subunit ribosomal RNA", at positions 336 to 865 of the family's 1533-position model. The record is from RNAcentral.
CUCCUACGGGAGGCAGCAGUGGGGAAUCUUGCGCAAUGGGGGCAACCCUGACGCAGCCAUGCCGCGUGAAUGAUGAAGGCCUUAGGGUUGUAAAGUUCUUUUGCCCGUGACGAUGAUGACGGUAACGGGAGAAUAAGCUCCGGCUAACUUCGUGCCAGCAGCCGCGGUAAUACGAAGGGGGCUAGCGUUGUUCGGAAUUACUGGGCGUAAAGCGCGCGCAGGCGGUUCGAUAAGUUAGGGGUGAAAUCCCCGGGCUCAACCCGGGAAUGGCCUUUAAGACUGUCGAGCUAGAGGACGAGAGAGGUGAGUGGAAUUCCCAGUGUAGAGGUGAAAUUCGUAGAUAUUGGGAAGAACACCGGUGGCGAAGGCGGCUCACUGGCUCGUUUCUGACGCUGAGGCGCGAAAGCGUGGGGAGCAAACAGGAUUAGAUACCCUGGUAGUCCACGCCCUAAACGAUGAGUGCCAGGUGUCGGGAAGCUUAGCUUCUCGGCGCCGCAGCUAACGCCUUAAGC